CUUUUUGAUUUUAAUUUAAAGUCUAACCUGCCCAAUGAAGAUUUAAAUGGCCGCGGUAUUUUGACCGUGCAAAGGUAGCAUAAUCAGUAGUUUUUUAAUUGAAAGCUGGAAUGAAAGGUUUGAUGAGAAAAUUUCUGUCUCGGUUUAAGUUUUGUAUAAAUUUAUUUUUAAGUUAAAAAGCBUAAAUUUUAUUAAAAGACGAGAAGACCCUAUAGAGUUUUAUUUAUUUUCAAAAUAAAUUUUUUAGUAUUUAAAAUUUUAUUBAAGAGAUUAAUUUAAUUGGGGUGAUUGAAAAAUUAAAUAAACUUUUUUUAAAUUUUUUACAUUAAUAUAUGAUUAUUUGAGCCUUAAUUAAGAUUAAAGAUAAAAUUACCUUAGGGAUAACAGCGUUAUBUUUCUAAAGAGUUCUAAUCGAAAGAAAAGUUUGCGACCUCGAUGUUGGAUUAAAAUUAAAAUUUGGUGUAGAAGCUGAA
This 473-nucleotide ribosomal RNA is filed under the name Phyllobius pyri. RNAcentral describes it as "partial 16S ribosomal RNA". Lineage: Eukaryota; Metazoa; Arthropoda; Insecta; Coleoptera; Curculionidae. The record is from RNAcentral.